This 929-nucleotide long non-coding RNA is filed under the name Junco hyemalis (dark-eyed junco). RNAcentral's name for it is "lncRNA (ENSJHYG00000010404.1)". The record is from RNAcentral. Lineage: Eukaryota; Metazoa; Chordata; Aves; Passeriformes; Passerellidae.
ACCAACUGGUCUCUUUCUCAGACCUUCUAGAUAUUGAAUAGAAAGAAUCUCAAAGCAAUCUGAGGUCUGAGAGAAUAUUGUUUUCUUAAAACGUGUCAUUAGACUGAUACAACUCUUUAAUGCCCACUGGAUAAUGGAAUUUUCCUGUCUCUAAUUUUCCUUUCAUGUAAUCCCGAUGGCAGCUCCUUUCUGAUUAGUCCAUCUGUCCUUCCAUGGCACAGCCCCAUCAGUACAUCUCACACCACUCACUCGUGCUGGGCAGUGCCUGGAGAUGUUUGAGGAACUAAGGACAUAUUUCUGCUUAACAGUGAAACACAACAAUUCACAAAGCAGAGGUAAUCACACUGGUGCCAGUGGACUACUCAGAGUGAGAUACUUUUUAAUACAGGCAAGAGGAUCACAGUCUGCUUGCUUAAAAAAUACAAUGCAAGGAACAAGACUGAAUCCACAAAGGAUUGCCCAAUCAAAGUCUGCUUUUCACAGCAAUGCACCUUCCAACAAGUCAUGCCUGAAAACUAAUUGACAAACGAACAAGUUUCAGGUUGGAAAUAUGUAAAAUAUAUCCUCAUGUUAAACGCUCAAAGUUGGAAGAAAAAGACACUGCACAGACACUUCAGUCUUUGAAGUGCACAGCUUCUUUUGGCUUCAAUGAACCAUGAAAAUAUCAAAGGGAUAACUUACCACUCAGUAUUUUAAUGUUCAUCAGUCCUCAGAUUGCUUUACUAAGAAGAACAGUGGCAUCAGUAUUGUACAGCAAUGUGUUACAUGCUUCAACUUGCUUUUUUUCUGUUGAUAUGAUUGUCUCAAUUAAUCAAUUCUUUUCAAGAACAGAAUUUUCAGUGGUCCUUAUGAGGUGAUGAUUCUUUAAUAACACAAAGCAGAAAAUUUUUCAGGGAAAGUGAAAAAAAUCAGCUUAUUUUCUAUGAAAA